This 480-nucleotide ribosomal RNA is filed under the name uncultured bacterium. RNAcentral describes it as "bacterial SSU rRNA". It matches the Rfam family "Bacterial small subunit ribosomal RNA", at positions 28 to 526 of the family's 1533-position model. The record is from RNAcentral.
GACGAACGCUGGCGGCGUGCUUAACACAUGCAAGUCGAACGAUGAAGCCUUUCGGGGUGGAUUAGUGGCGAACGGGUGAGUAACACGUGGGCAAUCUGCCCUUCACUCUGGGACAAGCCCUGGAAACGGGGUCUAAUACCGGAUAAUACUUUCUCUCUCAUGGGGGAAGGUUAAAAGCUCCGGCGGUGAAGGAUGAGCCCGCGGCCUAUCAGCUAGUUGGUGGGGUAAUGGCCUACCAAGGCGACGACGGGUAGCCGGCCUGAGAGGGCGACCGGCCACACUGGGACUGAGACACGGCCCAGACUCCUACGGGAGGCAGCAGUGGGGAAUAUUGCACAAUGGGCGAAAGCCUGAUGCAGCGACGCCGCGUGAGGGAUGACGGCCUUCGGGUUGUAAACCUCUUUCAGCAGGGAAGAAGCGAAAGUGACGGUACCUGCAGAAGAAGCGCCGGCUAACUACGUGCCAGCCGCCGCGUAAAAC